This 253-nucleotide ribosomal RNA is filed under the name uncultured bacterium. RNAcentral's name for it is "partial 16S ribosomal RNA". It matches the Rfam family "Bacterial small subunit ribosomal RNA", at positions 524 to 776 of the family's 1533-position model. The record is from RNAcentral.
UACGUAGGUGGCAAGCGUUGUCCGGAAUUACUGGGCGUAAAGCGCGUGUAGGCGGCUAUGCAAGUCGGGCGUGAAAGCCCUCGGCUCAACCGAGGAAGUGCACUCGAAACUGCGUAGCUAGAGUCCCGGAGAGGAAGGUGGAAUACUUGGUGUAGAGGUGAAAUUCGUAGAUAUCAAGUGGAACACCGGUGGCGAAGGCGGCCUUCUGGACGGUGACUGACGCUGAGACGCGAAAGCGUGGGGAGCAAACGGG